AAAAAAAAAAAAAAAAAGACUUUUUUCAAUGAUGUUUGGUUGGGAAUAAAUAGACUAGGGAAAUGUAAGUGUAACUUCUGGAGAGAUAUAAAGUGCUUAUAUUUAGUUUACAUUAUUAAUUCUACUUUUCGAUGAACUAAAAACUCUAUAAAACUCCAUUGAAAGUUGAAACACUCUUGGUAUGUUUUACUUCUACUGUUUUUAGUUUUUUCUUUUGCUGUUCUAAUAUUCUUAUGUGUUUGCUUUUUCCUCAUUUCAGACCCAUCCAUUCUUUUUUGAUCUAGUCCAUCCCCAAUUUCCUUACAAGCAUCAGUUACAAGUGGGUAGUUGGCUAUUUGUGGUUUUAUCAUCUCUUUCUUUGUUAUUCGAGAUUUCUGGUGGGCAUUUUCACUCUAUGUACUGCUCUUCUAAUUCUUUCUCACUGUUGUUUAAGUUGUUCUGACAACCAUUCUCUGCACCUAAGAAUCCUUCUCUACGCAUCAAUAAACCCAUGAGUGGUAUUGGAGCUCUCCAUAGGAAGACCCGCAAGAUUGCAAUUUUCAACCUAUUUGUAACUUAAUUUAACUCCAAUUCCUUUUAUGAUGUACAUGGAAAAUCAACAGUAAACAACAAUAUAAUAAUAGCAUAAUAUGCAAUAUGAUUUUGAGAUCA
Non-coding RNA from Jatropha curcas, 651 nucleotides. Lineage: Eukaryota; Viridiplantae; Streptophyta; Magnoliopsida; Malpighiales; Euphorbiaceae. The record is from RefSeq and is a predicted model, not a curated record.